This 1614-nucleotide ribosomal RNA is filed under the name Triticum aestivum (bread wheat). RNAcentral's name for it is "partial small subunit ribosomal RNA". Lineage: Eukaryota; Viridiplantae; Streptophyta; Magnoliopsida; Poales; Poaceae. The record is from RNAcentral.
AUGGCCAGGCCAAACAUGAAACCCAUUGUCCUGCUCUUCCUAAAGCUCCUCCUCAUCGGCCUUAGUGCACCACAGCUCAUCGCUGGCGAUGAAACCCAGAAGUUUGUCUAUUCUGGCUUCGCUAGCGCUAACCUCACCCUCGACGGCACAGCCUCAGUCACGCCAAGCGGGCUGCUCGAGCUGACCAAUGGCACGGUCAUGAGCAUGGGUCACGCCUUCCACCCGGCUCCGCUGCGCCUCCGCGACUCGCCCAACGGCUCGAUACAGUCCUUCUCCGCCUCCUUCGUGUUCGGCAUCAUCUCCAUCUACGACGUGAGCAGCCAUGGCCUAACCAUGUUGGUCGCACCGAGCAAGGAUUUAUCCAAGGCGAUGCCAGUACAGUACUUGGGCCUCUUCAAUGGCUUGAACAACGGCAACACAACCAACCAUAUCUUUGCUGUUGAGCUCGACACAUGGCAAAACGCUGAGUUUGGCGACAUCGACUACAACCAUGUCGGUGUCGACAUCAACGGCCUCAGCUCCGAGAAGUCCCACACGGCUGGUUUCUUCCAUGACCAGAAUGGCACGUUCGAGAACUUGACUCUUGGUAGCCAAGAGGCGAUGCAGGUCUGGGUGGACUACGACAGAGAGAAGACGCAGAUUGAUGUUACCAUGGCUCCUCUCAACAUGACCACCAAGCCCAAGAGACCAAUAGUGUCCGCCAGGUACAACCUCUCUGCUGUGCUCAAAGAUGUGGCAUACAUCGGCUUCUCAUCUUCAACAGGCACGAUCAAAACACAGCAUUAUGUGCUCGGUUGGAGCUUCGCCAUGAAUGGUCCUGCCCCAGUCAUCAAUCUCUCCAUGCUUCCAAAGCUUCCACGCGAUCAUCCCAAGGGUCGUCGAUCCUGGGUCUUAGACAUAGUUCUGCCGGUAGGAACGGCAGUGGUCCUCCUGUCUUUGGGGGCCAUUGCGUUCCUCCUUGUGAGGAGGCAUUUCAGGUAUGCGGAGGUACGAGACAACUGGGAGGUGGAGUUCGGCCCACACCGUUUCUCAUACAAAGAUUUGUAUCAUGCAACGGGAGGAUUUGAGGACAAAAACCUUUUAGGAGUUGGAGGAUUCGGGAGAGUGUACAAAGGGGUGCUUCAGAAAUCAAGAUUGAAGAUAGCCGUGAAGAGGGUGUCACAUGAUUCCAAGCAAGGCAUGAAGGAGUUCAUUGCAGAAAUCGUCAGCAUAGGCCGCCUUCAAAACCGAAAUCUUGUGCCGUUGCUUGGCUAUUGUCGGCGUAAAGGUGAACUCCUCUUGGUAUAUGAGUACAUGCCCAAUGGAAGCCUUGAUAAGUACCUGCAUGGCAAAGAGGAUAACACAAUAUUGAGUUGGGCUCAACGGUUUCAGGUCAUCAAAGGAAUUGCAUCUGGCUUGCUUUAUCUCCACGAGGAGUGGGAGAAAGUGGUUGUUCAUCGAGACAUCAAGGCAAGCAAUGUGCUCCUUGACAACGAGAUGAAUGGGCGAUUGGGUGAUUUCGGCCUUGCAAGGCUGUAUGACCAUGGCAUCGACCCAGACUACACAUGUGGUUGGCACCAUAGGCUACCUAGCUCCAGAGCUGGCACGCAGCGGAAAUGCCACUCCUCCUACUGA